CCUACGGGUGGCAGCAGUGGGGAAUAUUGGACAAUGGGCGCAAGCCUGACCCAGCAACGCCGCGUGAAUGAAGAAGGCUUUCGGGUUGUAAACUUCUUUUCUCAGGGACGAAGCAAGUGACGUUACCUGAGGAAUAAGCCACGGCUAACUACGUACCAACAGCCGCGGUACUACGUAGGUGGCAAGCGUUAUCCGGAUUUACUGGGUGUAAAGGGCGUGUAGGCGGGGACGCAAGUCAGAUGUGAAACCCACGGGCUCAACCUGUGACCUGCAUUUGAAACUGUGUUUCUUGAGUACUGGAGAGGCAGACGGAAUUCCUAGUGUAGCGGUGAAAUGCGUAGAUAUUAGGAGGAACACCAGUGGCGAAGGCGGUCUGCUGGACAGCAACUGACGCUGAGGCGCGAAAGCGUGGGGAGCAAACAGGAUUAGAUACCCGAGUAGUC
This 443-nucleotide ribosomal RNA is filed under the name uncultured bacterium. Its description in RNAcentral is "partial 16S ribosomal RNA". It matches the Rfam family "Bacterial small subunit ribosomal RNA", at positions 338 to 795 of the family's 1533-position model. The record is from RNAcentral.